GUCAUCCGCGUCAGACGCGCUCCGGCUGAUGGGGCUGCCAGCGCUGCACGUGUGCCAGAGAGCUGUGGAGGUGAAUCAGACUGCAAAAAGGACCUUGCUCUUCCGUCCACAGGAAGAGAUGAGGAAGUCAGAGCCAUCCUGCUGGACAGCUUUCCUUUCAUCUCACUUCAUUCCCAUUCCUGCAGUCUCUGGAUGGUUCGAUGUAGCCACAGCUCUCUGACCCAACACAUCCGUGUCGCAGUGCCUUCUCCACGCCGAUCCCAACGCCAAGCCAAGCCUCGCUGUGAUGGAGGUUGGAAACGUUACCAAAGCUCGUGGACCAGCAGUGAAUAAUGUCAACCAGAGAUCUGGCUCACAAAGUUCUUAGUGCCUUCAAGCUAGCAAGGCCAAAGGGUAAGCAAGCGGUGUUUUGCAGUCCCUGUGGAUACACAAAACAUGGGAAAUUAAGGACAGAACAGCCUGGGCUUUGCCAAAGACUCAGCCAAAAAAAAAAAAAGCCAUGCAAAGGCGUGCAAGACAACAGAGGAAGCUUGCUGAGCUUCCCAAAGCCAGCUGCACUCCAGCUUUCCAAGCUGCACGAGUCCACCCCAAGCCCCAGGAGCACCCGCCUUGCCUGGGAGUACGUGUCAUGUUAUCCAGAUGUUGGAAGUCUUACUUUAAGCACAUGUGACCCAGUGUGCUUGCAACAAGCUUCCACUGCCAGUUCACUCUUUGCUUGUUUCCAAGUGUGUGAAUUCCUCUUUUAGCCUGUGGUUUCUGCUGAAGAAGCAGAUAAAUUAUGGCUAUCCAGCUAUGGAAUGGCUGGAUGAGAGGGAGGUAGGCACAUAGGACAUACAGGGCAAUGGUUGAUGGCUGUUUGGCUUCAUUCACACAAGGGCUGGAGCCUCCUUUCCCAGAUCUCAGAACUUGUUUGCUGAUGCUCACUCUCUCCCGGCCCUCUUCCAGCCCCACAGUGCUGCAUAAACCUUGGCGUGGGGUGGGGCACCAGCAGCUCGCCAAUGCCAAAACAAGGACCAUGUUGCAGCAGCAGGAGGGGACCCAGGCCAGCUGCAGACCUCUGUCCCAACCCCAUCUGAGUCUCCCACUGCCUCUGGGUGUUGGCUCCACAUCUGAAGCAGGCACAGCUUGCCCUCACUCUCCAUCCCACCCGUCUGGAAUCAAGGCCACUUGCACGAGGACUUCCUUUACACUGGCUUCUUGUGCCUGGAGGCUGGGACAGCGGGGAAGCCGGGGGGACCAGGGAGAAACCACCCUCAGUCACUGAAAACAGAACUCUUAAAAAAAUACAGCUUUGAAGUAACCCAGCCCUAGAAGCAGAAGUUUUCACGUGUAUGGUCAAUGCAGGAAAGAAUGCAAGUUCACUUCCAAGGUUUACUGCAAAGAAAGUAGUAAACAGAAAGGCUUACAGCACCUUAGAAGUUAUACAGCUCCCUUCUUCAUCUCCAGCACUUGAAGAUGAUUUCCCCACAUGUCCCUUAAUAUCCACCCUCUCCCACCUUCUUUUUGGCCCAGGCUGGUCAGGAAGACCUCAGGCAAAUGGUGCCAAAGCGAACUCGUCAUAUUUGGGGAGUGAGCAGUUGGAAGGAAAAGUCACCCUGCUGUAGCCUGGCUGUGAGCCUGGCCCUGCCCGUGGGUCCUCAGGAAUGCUGUAGCAGAAAGGUGGUGCCUGCAGGAAAAUUCUUCAGUGCUAUGGUGAGAUGACCUCGGGACUGGAGUCAAACAGUGGCUCGGUGGCUACACAGGCUGCCUUUUGGAUAGGCUACAGAGGGUCAGGAGGGCUUUGUUGCUUGAUAAAUGCAGUUCAGGUCCCAGAUAGCUCUGCCCAACAGCUGUGAGCCGGCCUGCUUUCUUCAGGAUGCUCAGUGAUUGCCAGCAUUUGGAAGAAUGAAACUUUGGUGUGUCUGUGUGUGCGGCUGCAAUGCUGAUUUAUUGUAUCUCCUUUCUGACUCUGGUCUGGGACUGCCCUUCUGCCAAAUGAUCCAGGGGCAGCAUGGAAUGGGACAGCUCCACAGCACUGGCACCAGCUUCCAGACACCCUGAGCUGUGCAAACCCAAGGACAGGUGAUGAUGAUGAUGAUGAGAAGCCUUGAGCCAGGGCAGCUCACAGGAGAAUAUUUUUCUGUUCCCCUCACAGGAUAUGAACCACACAUGGAAGUCUCACGCUUUGUAAAAGGAAAGAGAAACCAGAGGGACUCCAGCAGUUAUACAACAUGCAGAAGCUGUUUGAGAGCUGCCUCCUAAAGGAUUAGCUACAAAUCCUUCCUCUCUUUACAGCUGUAGCCUUGUGUCUGUGUGCAUCCUGUGAAGCAGUGUAGAAAUGAAUAAAUAAAAAGGACAGCAUUAAGUAACACAGGAACACUCGUGUCCAUGUGGUAUUGCCUGCAUCAUCCAGAUGGAAAGUAUCUGUCUAGACAAAUCUGGGAAUUAUGCAAGCUCAGAAUUCCUGAAUAGCUCUUCAGUUCCAAUAUCGUGGAACAUUUGCAGUACCCACAGAAAAUAGGCACAGAAACAUGGGGGGAAAGAAACCCUUCAAUUCCAACAGCCAGGAUACCUAAAUACUAGUGAUGUGUUGGAUGAGAGAAGGAGGAAAUGCAGGAAUAUGGAGCAAUGUCCUUGCUGUGUGCAUGCUGACUCAUCCCCGAGGAGUCAGGAUCAUCCCUGGUGCUCACUCCUGUCUCAGCAGAAGUGGAGCAGGCUCCUUUGAGCUUCUUGUGGUUCUCUGCUGCCUGAUGCCCUGGACAAGGCACAGAGAUGCUUGUUUCCACUGCUCCGGAGCUGUUUGUUUCCACGGUGCUCAGACAAGCAGAAGGAAUGAAAACAAAGAGGGAAAGAUGGGCUGUCCUGGUGCAAACCACAACAGCAUAAAAAUAAAUCACUCUUGGCCUGGGAGAGCAAAAAAUAGAAGCAGGACAGAAAACACGGAAUUCCCGCUCUGGACCAGGAGCUGCUGCUGACUCUGAGCAGUGCCCAGGGAUCACCGGGGCUGGGAGCUUAGCACAACUCUAGAGUUGUAGUGACCCUUUUUGGUGUUCUUGGGAAACAACGGCCCGGCCAGAGGAGACAGAAGAACGGAGCAGUCAGGAGCUCUGCCUGCAGAGCAGCACAACCCAGGGAGAGGAUGGCACAAUUCCCAGUAGUAUAUAGAGAAACGUAAGUUUUAAAAAAGCAGAGGUCGUGAUCCAGCAGUCAUCCAGUUUGUGACAGUUUUAUCACUGGCUCCAGGGGGACAGGUUCAAACCUUCCGAGGGUGCAUCCAAACGGAAACGUCGCUCUGGAGGAAAAGGGGCUCACGUUUAUCCAUCUGGCCUGGCCCCUCCAGUGCUGCAAAGGACAGUGAGAGACAGCAUUGUGUCAAUUCUGCCCUCCCUUUCUUCCUAGCGAAGAAAGAGUAAAGAGCAACUGUGGGACUGAGUGGUAAAACAAGUGCUUGUUUUGCCACUGCUGUACCACUGUUUGGGGGCAAUCAGGGCAAUAUUUAUGCAGGGCUGCAGCAGGACAUCAUGCCCGAGCCACCGUUGGAUCAGCAGCCCAGAAAGCAGAUGUGCCAAUUUCCUGUCCUUGAUGAUGAUGGGCCCUAAUUACGCCAGAGCUGUGGCGAUGUCCUUUCUUGUGUAUGACCCCUAAUUUGGUUUCAUGAAGUCAUCUGUGCCAGGUUCUUCCGGCUGCAAGGCUGGGCCCCUGCUCUUGGCUGCAACACCGUUCUGCUGCCCUGUGUAAUUUCAGGUCAGUGAAGAUUUCUACACCAAACUCCAGCUAGACCAUCUAGAGGAUGUGCUUGGGGAAACGCCACAUUCAGAAGGAUUUUGUGCUCCUGCCUUCACAAGAGCCAUCAGAACCAGCUGCACUUCGGAGAAUGAGCCAGAGUCACCCUGGGCUUGGAAAGCUGCUGGGGAAAGCUCAAGGGUUUCAAAAUGGUGCUGGAUCUCAUAAAAGGAAGUCUGAUGGAUUCAGCAGAGUUCAUACAAACACCCCAGGAAGAACAGGAGGAAAAUAACCCAGCAGCUCAUGUGCAGGCAAUCAGAGGUUAAGAGUCAGGCCAGCCACCCCUGGCACAUGGAUAAAUCUUCGUCCCGAGCUCAUCAAAUCCCCAGCCUGCUCGUUCAAGAGGGAUUCGCAGGAGGUAAUACAAGAGUGACCUUUGCUCUGCCAUAAAUGCGGGUGCACGUGAACCAGCUCAAUCAGCAGAGGCUUUGUUUUGGCUCCCUUCACCUGGGGUAGUUUGUCUCACCCAGCAGCUGCGAGAUCACUGCAGCAUCCUGGCAGCACCAUGUGAGGUGCCUGCCUUUCCCUGUCCCCUCUUUUGUCACUCCUUCAGGUGGCUUUUCCAAGGUCCUUUUGACCUUGUGGGGCUGCUUUUCCCUCUCCCCAUGACUUCCUAUCUUUCCAAGUACUUUGUAAUCUUGACAAUGUUGAUUUUUACUGCAGUAAGGGGAAAACGUGGCUUUUCUUUUGAUAGCCAGAUUGCAUGUUUGUUUGUUCUUUUAUUUUUGGCUUCUUAGAGCUUUUUGCCACUUUUCACUUUCUAAUUGUCUCUUUUUCUAAUCCAGGCACUUAUGCUCAAAGCCAACAUUUCUUAUGGCAACUUUUUAUCACCUGCUGGCUAGAACAGAACAGAAAAAAAACAGAUUCUGGCUGAAGGACCUACAAAAGUAGUAAAACAUAAAGGCUUGUUUUAAGGAUUUCUUCUUUGAUAGAAUAGAAAAAAUGCAGUGUUUAGAGGUGAAAGACCUGGCUGCAUGCAGAGGCCUGGCCUGAGCUUUAGAACAGAGUAUCUCUAACUUGAGAGAAGGCAAGUGGGAUCCCAGUUUAUGUCGCAGGGGGAAAAAACCUACCAAAAAGGAAUUGCUUGGGCACCCAGAUGGUUUGCAGCUCUGGAUAAUGCAUUGGGGGCUGGCAGGAGACAGGAGGUAAUGAGCAGGUCUGAUGGGCAAGGCAAAUCGAGCAGAGGAGAGGUGGUGGUGGGCACAGGACCCUGGUGAGGGAGGUUGUGCCUGCUGAAAUGGGACGCUGCAGUGCAAGACUGGCAAAAAAAGGAACAGCAGUCCUUGAUCUCUUGGGAAAAAGGCAUCUGUGUGUCUUGAAUAACACUCAUGUCAUGUCUGGAGAUGGCUCAAUUUUUUCAGGACCCUGUAGAGUCCCUGACUAUUUUGCUGAGACUGUGUGCAGGGAGCUACAGCUUCAUUGUUGUUUUUAACAUUAGUUAAGCAAUAGGCUGGAAAACCCACGUGUUUCUCGGAGGCACUGGUAUCCAGCCCCUCAUCCGAGGUUUGCCUGGUCCCCGAUGUCACCAGGAGCUGCGGGACGCUGAGUGCCAGCUCAGGGGGAUGUACAGGAGCGCUGCCUCCGGGGCAGGAGCAAGCUGCAGAGUGACCUGUGAGUGGGCUUGUCCCCAGUCUCUGUGGACACUGACAAACAGAAAGACAGAGGCAAUGGUGGCAACAGGUAAUGUUAAAAUGUUUGCUGUGAAUGUUGAGGCUUAAUGCUAAACAGCAACAUUUCAGAAUCCCUCAGCACAGCAAGACCCCAGGCAUAGAUGACAAGCUCUCUGCGAAUGAGGAGCACCCGGAGUAGCACUGUCAGAGGUGGUUAAUGGAAUUGGGUGUUGAUCCCUGUUUACCUGCUGGUGGUGGCUCUGGAAGGAGGGCUUCUUCCUUUGCUGGUGGGGUCUAAAGCCUUUAGCGAUGCACAAGCGCUCCACGUGAGCCCUGUGCACUGCCCCAACACCUCGGUGUUGGUGCUGCCAGCCCUUCUGGGAGCCCCCAGCCAUGGGCCAUCCCCUUUGUGCGUGGCUGCCUGCCAAGCCCCAGCUCACCAGGACCCAUGCCAGCCCAGGUCAGAGUUGGGCAUCCACCUUGGAUCACAUGUCUGGAACCUUCUCUUAGCAUUCCUGAGGGCCUGUUCACAAAAGCUUUGUCCGCCUGCUUCCUUGCAGUAGCCCGUGAGCAGGGCCAACCCACCCAUGUUCCCUGGGAGGUUAUUCCCGGCUGAACAAGCUUUGCUCCAUGGAACUGAUCUGCUGAAGUGCACUUGCCUUCCUCGCCAUCAUUCCACUAGGCAGGCUGCAGAGAUAACGUCCGUCUUUGUUCUGAUGUGAGACCCUUGCGUAGACAUUUGCUGUUUGAGGCCAACCAACUAACCAGAACAGAGACAAACCCAGCGCAGAAACAGAAGGUGGAUAAGGCUCAGUCCAGAAUGCAGCCGGAGCAGAACGACUUCCUGGGGAGGAACAAGUACCUUCCCGGAGCUUCUGAGCAGAGGAAAAUGGAGCCUCUCUUCACGGAGAACGAUGUUUGUAGCAGUGCCAAGCAGGUGCUCCUGCCCUCCACCUCUGUUCUCCACAUCUCUGGGCGGCUGUCCAGGCUGCAGCAGGUAGACCCUCAGAGGGAAGGGAAGGAGGUCUGAGCCACGCUGCCCCCUGAGCAGCGUGGAAAGGAGCCAUCCCUGAAGCAGGAUUGCCUCUGAGCUGGCAGCAGACGAGUGAUUGGCAUUGGGCAGCGCUGCUGAGACUCUGGCAGGCCGUUUAGCAGAGAACCUUGGCUAAUGAAUGUCAUCCACACCUAGCAGAUGUGCCACUGCCUGCCAUGCCAGAUUUUUGACAUAAUACAGGGCUGCUGGACACAACAGUGCUCAGGAAAAGCCGGGGAGCGACUCGUGCCUUCAACGUGGCGCUUGGUUCCACUCGUGCUCUGUGAGAGAAAUGAAACCUGCGGGGGGGAGGGAAGCACGUCCGCGUCUCCCGGUCCCCGACCCUGCUUUUAUCGGUUCCCCGUGCUUCCAGCCCCGGCUCUCGCUGGGCCUUCCAGCCUCCCGGCGGGUCCCAAGCCGGGGAACCGAGCAGGGGGCUCAGUGCCCCCCGGGAGCUGAGAUGGCUGCGGGCAGGUGCCUGGCACCUGCAUCUCGCCGCCGGCAGCAUCCCGGGCUUCGUCUUUCCUCUCCUGCCCUCCAUCGGAGGGAAGCCGCAUUCGCCGGGCACAGCGGGGGGCCAGGGGGGGAGACCGGCUCCCCGGGAGCCCCGAACCCCUCCGGCUUUCCGGGACUCCCCCUCACCCCGCCCGGAGCGGGAGCGGGGACGGGGCCGCCUCCUAAUCCCGGCCUAAUCCCGGAGAGCGGCAGCAGAGCGGGCGGCCGCUA
Cyanistes caeruleus (blue tit) is the source of this 7131-nucleotide non-coding RNA. NCBI's taxonomy places the organism in Eukaryota, Metazoa, Chordata, Aves, Passeriformes, Paridae. The record is from RefSeq and is a predicted model, not a curated record.